This 214-nucleotide unclassified non-coding RNA is filed under the name uncultured Agaricomycetes. RNAcentral describes it as "sequence contains ITS1". The record is from RNAcentral. Lineage: Eukaryota; Fungi; Basidiomycota; Agaricomycetes.
ACGAGUUUUUGAAACGGGUUGUCGCUGGCUUUUCAAAACGGAAAGCAUGUGCACGCCUGGCUCAUUCCACUCUCAAACCUCUGUGCACUUACUGUAGGCUUGGUUUUUGUUGCAUAGGCUGUAUUGCUUGUGUGUAUCAAAGCCUUGUCUAUGUUUUUACAACAAACAUGUUAGUAAAAGAAUGUAAACCCUUUGCGUCUAACGCAUUUAAAUA